RNAcentral lists this ribosomal RNA (839 nucleotides) under uncultured bacterium. RNAcentral's name for it is "bacterial SSU rRNA". It matches the Rfam family "Bacterial small subunit ribosomal RNA", at positions 61 to 894 of the family's 1533-position model. The record is from RNAcentral.
GUCGAGCGGGGGAAGGNAGCUUGCUACCGGACCUAGCGGCGGACGGGUGAGUAAUGCUUAGGAAUCUGCCUAUUAGUGGGGGACAACAUCUCGAAAGGGAUGCUAAUACCGCAUACGUCCUACGGGAGAAAGCAGGGGAUCUUCGGACCUUGCGCUAAUAGAUGAGCCUAAGUCGGAUUAGCUAGUUGGUGGGGUAAAGGCCUACCAAGGCGACGAUCUGUAGCGGGUCUGANAGGAUGAUCCGCCACACUGGGACUGAGACACGGCCCAGACUCCUACGGGAGGCAGCAGUGGGGAAUAUUGGACAAUGGGGGGAACCCUGAUCCAGCCAUGCCGCGUGUGUGAAGAAGGCCUUAUGGUUGUAAAGCACUUUAAGCGAGGAGGAGGCUACUUUAGUUAAUACCUAGAGAUAGUGGACGUUACUCGCAGAAUAAGCACCGGCUAACUCUGUGCCAGCAGCCGCGGUAAUACAGAGGGUGCGAGCGUUAAUCGGAUUUACUGGGCGUAAAGCGUGCGUAGGUGGCUUAUUAAGUCGGAUGUGAAAUCCCCGAGCUUAACUUGGGAAUUGCAUUCGAUACUGGUGAGCUAGAGUAUGGGAGAGGAUGGUAGAAUUCCAGGUGUAGCGGUGAAAUGCGUAGAGAUCUGGAGGAAUACCGAUGGCGAAGGCAGCCAUCUGGCCUAAUACUGACGCUGAGGUACGAAAGCAUGGGGAGCAAACAGGAUUAGAUACCCUGGUAGUCCAUGCCGUAAACGAUGUCUACUAGCCGUUGGGGCCUUUGAGGCUUUAGUGGNNCAGCUAACGCNAUAAGUAGACCGCCUGGGGAGUACGGNCGCAAGAC